This 64-nucleotide transfer RNA is filed under the name Namalycastis abiuma. RNAcentral describes it as "tRNA-Tyr". The record is from RNAcentral. Lineage: Eukaryota; Metazoa; Annelida; Polychaeta; Phyllodocida; Nereididae.
GCUGGAGUGGCCGAGGCAGAGGCCAUAGCCUGUAAAGCUAUUCACGAGAAUAUCUCUUCCAGUA